Phrynosoma platyrhinos (Desert horned lizard) is the source of this 72-nucleotide non-coding RNA. The record is from the annotation of a GenBank genome assembly. NCBI's taxonomy places the organism in Eukaryota, Metazoa, Chordata, Lepidosauria, Squamata, Phrynosomatidae.
GGCAGCAUGGCAUAGUGGUUUAAGUGUUGGACAAUGACUCUGGAGAACAGGGUUCGAUUCCCUGCUGAGCCA